GACGAACGCUGGCGGCGUGCUUAACACAUGCAAGUCGAACGGAAAGGCCCCCACUUUUUUGGUGGGGGUGCUCGAGUGGCGAACGGGUGAGUAACACGUGGGUGAUCUGCCCUGUACUUCGGGAUAAGCUUGGGAAACUGGGUCUAAUACCGGAUAGGACCAUGGUUUAGUGUCUCAUGGUGGAAAAAUUAUUGUUUUGGUGCAGGAUGAGCUCGCGGCCUAUCAGCUUGUUGGUGGGGUAAUGGCCUACCAAGGCGUCGACGGGUAGCCGGCCUGAGAGGGUGGACGGCCACAUUGGGACUGAGAUACGGCCCAGACUCCUACGGGAGGCAGCAGUGGGGAAGAUUGCACAAUGGGCGCAAGCCUGAUGCAGCGACGCCGCGUGGGGGAUGACGGCCUUCGGGUUGUAAACUCCUUUCGUUAGGGACGAAGCCGCACCUUUUUUGGGUGUGGUGACGGUACCUUUGUGAAGAAGCACCGGCUAACUACGUG
RNAcentral lists this ribosomal RNA (492 nucleotides) under uncultured bacterium. RNAcentral's name for it is "partial 16S ribosomal RNA". It matches the Rfam family "Bacterial small subunit ribosomal RNA", at positions 28 to 507 of the family's 1533-position model. The record is from RNAcentral.